Long non-coding RNA from Centrocercus urophasianus (Greater sage-grouse), 1490 nucleotides. RefSeq lists it as uncharacterized. NCBI's taxonomy places the organism in Eukaryota, Metazoa, Chordata, Aves, Galliformes, Phasianidae. The transcript has 5 exons. The record is from RefSeq and is a predicted model, not a curated record.
CAGGGGAGGACACUUCUCAACUUGGGGUCCUGUGACUGCGUGCCUUCAACUUCAAGUCUCUCUGAGCUGCUGAUGGUGGAAGAAGCAGCCUCCAAAUAUGCCAGCCUGCAGUGUCUGUGCUGGGUGAGCUGUGGCCUGGAUCCUUGCAGAGCCUUUUGUGGUGUGCAGCUGCUGUGAGCUCUGCUGUAACUUGGAAAGCUUUGCAGCCCAGGGCUGGGGAACUGGGCUGAUGCUGUUCUUGGCUCCAAAGCCUUCCUAGAUGGUGUCAGCUGUCAAACAACUCCUGUGUAGUGAGAGCCUUCCGUGUCAACCAUUCGUUCCCGUUCCCUGGAGCCUGUAGGCCAGCUGCACUUCCCUCAGCCAUAAACGCAGUGUCCCUGCGGAGUGGAUACACACUUAGUUAUCCCCUUUCCUUGUGCAGAGACCUUCCAGCAUUCCCAUGUUGCUUGGUAUCAGGUGGGCAAAGGGCUGUACCAAGGCUGAUUGGAUCUUGAUAGGCUAACAAGGGCAGAACACCAGUGAGAGAGCUGCAGCCAUUCCCACCUGAGCUCCUGAUAGGAGUCCUUCCUCAACCCAGCCAUCAGCUUGUCUUGGAGACCUCCAACCUGCUGUUCUAUAGGACUGAAGCAAGCUAACGCGUUCCCAUCUUAUUCACACCCUUCUCCAAAGCUCUGAUGUGCCAAACCAGGGUCAGGCCCCUCCUGGGACACUGCCUCCCCUUCUGAGCAUCUGUGCAGACAUUAAGAACAGUAGCAUCUCUCAUAUGCAGAGAGAAAGAGCAGGGCAGAGAAAGAAGUCAUGGGUGAGCACUGGAAGUGUGCUCAGAGCACCUCUCUCAGUGCAGCUGACUGCUCUGGAAUUCAGCAGCCUCUUGAAUCCAACAAUCCAUUGUUGACCUCUUCACUCUUUUUACCUUAAACAAAAGGAGCACUGUUCUGAUUGAACUGUGGCACUUCAUCUGCAGCUGGACUACCAAACUGAUAAGCCAGGCAAUCAAAGAGAAGGUAAUAAAAUCCAGAGAUCUACAAGUUCAGCAUUUAGAUUUUCAUUUUUGUCCAGAGGAAAAACAGACAGCAGGUGAGUCUGCCAUUUCCAUCAGUGUUAUGCUGUGUGCUGGGGGAGAUAUGAUGGCAUAAUGCCCCGGCUUCAGGGACACACGGCUGUGGCUGAGGCUGUGAGGGAUGCCUUCCACCAGUGCUGCAAAAGCCUUUCACUUCCAAUAGACUGGGACCUCGGAGCUGAAGUAUGCAUUGUGUUUUGUGGAAAAGAAGAUCAACUCUCACGUUUUUAAGCUGCCUAAGGAAGGAAAGCUACCGAAGCAGAGCAGCAGACAGCCUGCUAUCUCUUCUAGCUCAUCUCUGCAAGGAAUUACCAGAAUAAAAAGUUGUAUUUCUACGUGAAGGGAUUCAUACAUCGUCUUUUCCAAAAAUCAUUCUCCAAUUUUAUGAGCUGGUUUGUAAGCCAUACACAUAGAGAGUACAAUUUGUGUU